UUUGAUGUAGCUGAUCGGUAAAGCAUUGGACGAUUAAUCCAAAGGAGCAGGUUCGACUCCUGCCAUCACAA
RNAcentral lists this transfer RNA (71 nucleotides) under Litoreibacter ponti. It matches the Rfam family "tRNA". Rfam says of the family: Transfer RNA (tRNA) molecules are approximately 80 nucleotides in length. Their secondary structure includes four short double-helical elements and three loops (D, anti-codon, and T loops). The record is from Rfam by way of RNAcentral. Lineage: Bacteria; Pseudomonadati; Pseudomonadota; Alphaproteobacteria; Rhodobacterales; Roseobacteraceae.